ACUUAAUUUUAGAGUUAGUCGUUGGAAGAUAAUAGACCCGAGCAUGGCAUGAUCAACGCACUCGGAGGAGUUACAUGGCUAGUCCGUCUAUUUGUCCUAAGCGAUAUUGGCACUUGAGUGAGAUGCAGGAUACAGCUCGAUUAUCGCUUGCUUUUGUGAAACUGAACACCUGAGCAAGAGGGGAUUGUUGUGAUUUGCACAAGAAAUAAACAAUGUGAUUUCGUGGAAAUAGAUCCAGGCACUCUAAUUAAGGAAUUCCUUCAGGCAUAAACAUUAGGAUUACUUGUGCUCUUAUCACCAGAUCAAGGUAAAGGGCUUGGAUAUUGUAGAAUCUGACAAUCUAUACACAUACAUCCGAUCUAACGUCAUUUUUGACCACUAUUUUCAUAUUGUCAUGUU
Molecule: long non-coding RNA, 399 nt
Filed under: Hordeum vulgare
Lineage: Eukaryota; Viridiplantae; Streptophyta; Magnoliopsida; Poales; Poaceae
Description: long non-coding RNA (HVUL_LNC017895)
Source: RNAcentral